GCCGCCGGGGCUUGCCAGGAGCGGUGGGGCGGUGCCGGCAGCCGCGAGGGCCCGUGGGCGGACGGGUGGGCCGGCCGCCGAGCUGGGGAGAGCCGCGGGCCGCCACUGAGGCUGGAGCUUCAUCCCCAGGUGCCUGGCCAGCCCCAGACAGGACCUGGAAGGCGCCCCCCGCCGCCGCCGCCGCCGCCGCCGCCAGGAAAUAGGCUCCUCCCCACGUUCGGCUCUACACUAAAUAUGCCAACUGCAGGAGCCUGGCUGGCUUUCUGGGCUCCAGCUGACAGGACAAGCUCUGGGGUUUUCAUGGAGUGUCGCCAGCCGGAAGGAAGGUAUUACUCCAGGCUCCAGCUACUGGACUUCGGGCUGGUUCAGGGAGGGACGUGAUGAGAGGGGCUUGAGCCCAAACUGAUGAUCUGGCAGCUAGUUCCUCAGGCAGCUGAAAGGAAACAGCUACCCAGUGCAUCUCCCAUCUGGAUGUGACUGUCUCAAAGUCCUGUAGUAUGGGAACAUUGACAUUACUGUGAAAAAGCCAAUACCACUCAAAAACAAAGGAGCCAAUCAACUCAGAUGGCCUCGUCUCCCACAAGCUAAGGAUUUAGAUUACUGUUGCAAGUCUGCUUUGGACAUUCUGUUUAUUCUGAGAAGAAAUACCCUGUCUGGAUAGAAGAGACCCCAUCUAAAGAGCCCCGGACUGAUUCUGACCCAAACCCAAGGGUUUAAGUGGAACCAAAACAUCCGAAGGAAUGCUGCCAGAAUGACUGACUAUGAUACCAGAUAGCUUCCUGUUUUUCCUGGCUGACAAUCCUCCUGUGUACAGAGUCUGAUUCCUCAUCCAUCAGUAGCAGGUUCUGGGGCCAACCCAGGAGAUUUCAGUCCUUCCCUGUUAGUGUCUAAUUUCGACUCUUCCUUGAUAACCAAUAAAAUCUGUAUCACAAAGCUUGUUCUCUCUAAUUGGCUUUUUAACUUUCUCUCUAGGCAGGUCUGGAUUUGUCCCACUAGCUGAUGUCCACUGUAAGGGAGGUAUUCUUUGUGCCAUAGAAGCCUUGGAAAUGGAAACAGCAGUGUAAUCUGGUCACACAUGACUGAGUAAACCUAUUGAUCCAAAGGCCAAAUGAUCAAUUUUGUUUGAAAGACAAGUAGGCUAACUGGGAAAAAAAGAUUCUUCUUCUAGGAGCCCCAUUCAAGAGCACACUGGCUCCACAUGUUUAGUCUUGGUUCUGUCUUUGUAUAACUAUAGUACUCGAAGGACUUGACCAGGGAUGUUGGUGUAGGGAGUCUUUAAAGCUAGUAAUAUGGAGCCUUGGUGGAGCUGAUUCUCCACUGAUCUCUGAAGUUGACUUGAUUUCAUCC
Prionailurus viverrinus (fishing cat) is the source of this 1347-nucleotide long non-coding RNA. RefSeq lists it as uncharacterized. Lineage: Eukaryota; Metazoa; Chordata; Mammalia; Carnivora; Felidae. The transcript is spliced from 5 exons. The record is from RefSeq and is a predicted model, not a curated record.